Microcebus murinus (gray mouse lemur) is the source of this 2057-nucleotide RNA transcript. It is a transcript of the gene named phosphoacetylglucosamine mutase pseudogene, with no coding region annotated. The record is from RefSeq and is a predicted model, not a curated record. Lineage: Eukaryota; Metazoa; Chordata; Mammalia; Primates; Cheirogaleidae.
AUAUACAACUAACACUGUAUUUAAAACAGAAAACUAUGGCCUGGGGCUGGAGUCUGGGGUGGCAACUGGGAGCGUGUCGGCGCGGGGAAGGGGAGUCUCUCCCGGCACGGACAUGGAUAUAGGUGCUAUUACAAAGCACUCAGCAUCACAUGCCAAGCCCAAUGGACUCAUUCUUCAAUAUGGGACUGCUGGAUUUCGAACGAAGGCAGAACAUCUUGAUCACGUCAUGUUUCGCAUGGGAUUAUUAGCUGUCCUGAGGUCAAAACAAACAAAAUCCACAAUAGGAGUCAUGGUAACAGCAUCCCACAAUCCUGAGGAAGACAAUGGUGUCAAACUGGUUGACCCUUUGGGUGAAAUGUUGGCACCAUCCUGGGAGGAACAUGCUACAUGUUUGGCAAAUGCUGAGGAACAGGACCUACAGAGAGUGCUUAUUGACAUCAGCAAGAAAGAAGCUGUGAAUCUGCAACAAGAUGCCUUCAUAGUUAUUGGUAGAGAUACCAGGCCCAGCAGUGAGAAACUUUCACAAUCUGUAAUAGAUGGCGUGACUGCUUUAGGAGGUCAAUUCCAUGAUUAUGGCUUGCUAACAACACCCCAGCUGCACUACAUGGUGUAUUGUCGAAACACCAGUGGCCGAUAUGGAAAGGCAACCACAGAAGGUUACUACCAGAAACUCUCUAAGGCUUUUUUGGAACUUACCAAACAGGCUUCCUGCAGUGGAGAUGAAUCUAGAUCGCUUAAGGUUGACUGUGCAAAUGGCAUAGGGGCCCUGAAGCUAAGAGAAAUGGAACACUACUUCUCACAGGGCCUGUCAGUCCAGCUGUUUGAUGAUGGGACCAAAGGGAAACUCAAUCAUUUAUGUGGAGCUGACUUAGUGAAGAGUCAACAGAAACCUCCGCAAGGCAUGGAAAUGAAGUCCAAUGAAAGAUGCUGUUCCUUUGAUGGAGAUGCAGACAGAAUUGUUUAUUACUACCAUGAUGCAGAUGGUCACUUUCAUCUCGUAGAUGGUGACAAGAUAGCAACGUUAAUUAGCAGUUUCCUUAAAGAGCUCCUGUUGGAGAUUGGAGAAAGUUUGAAUAUUGGUGUUGUACAAACUGCAUAUGCAAAUGGAAGUUCAACAUGUUACCUUGAAGAAGUUAUGAAGGUACCUGUGUAUUGCACCAAAACUGGUGUAAAACAUUUGCACCACAAGGCUCAAGAGUUUGACAUUGGAGUUUAUUUUGAAGCAAAUGGGCAUGGCACCGCACUGUUUAGUACAGCAGUUGAAAUGAAGAUAAAACAACUAGCAGAAGAAUUAGAAGAUAAGAAAAGAAAAGCUGCUAAGAUGCUUGAAAACAUUAUGGACUUGUUUAACCAGGCAGCUGGUGAUGCUAUUUCUGACAUGCUGGUGACUGAGGCAAUCUUGGCUCUGAAGGGCUUGACUGUACAACAGUGGGAUGCUCUCUACACAGAUCUUCCAAACAGACAACUCAAAGUUAAGGCUGCAGACAGGAGAGUUAUUAGCACCACAGAUGCUGAAAGACAAGCAGUUACACCCCCAGGACUACAGGAGGCAAUCAAUGACCUGGUGAAGAAGUACAAGCUUUCCCGAGCUUUUGUCCGGCCCUCUGGUACUGAAGAUGUUGUCCGAGUAUAUGCAGAAGCUGACUCUCAAGAAAGUGCAGAUAGCCUUGCACAUGAAGUAAGCUUGGCAGUAUUUCAGCUGGCUGGAGGAAUUGGAGAAAGACCCCAACCAUGUUUCUGAAGAUAAUUUUUAUAUUCCUGAGAAACUGGAUUGUUAAAAUUUUUUAUAAAACUGUCAGUAAUUAUAGCAAUACUAUGGUUAUAAUCAUGUUUACUAUGCAUCUUACUGGAUUGUUUCUAGAUCUGAUUGCUUUUCUUAAACACUACCAGAGUAAUUCUUUAGAAAUAUAUAAGUCUUAUUUGUUAAAGAAACUUACCUCUAAUUUCAGUCUCACUAAUGUAAAAUAUUAGGCUUAAGCAUAUGAUUCAAUCAUUAACUUUAUAGCUGUAUGCAGGGAACAAUUCAUGCAGGCUGCUGGAAAAUUAAAUCCUAUUAC